This is a long non-coding RNA of Thalassophryne amazonica, 325 nucleotides long. RefSeq lists it as uncharacterized. NCBI's taxonomy places the organism in Eukaryota, Metazoa, Chordata, Actinopteri, Batrachoidiformes, Batrachoididae. The record is from RefSeq and is a predicted model, not a curated record. The transcript is spliced from 3 exons.
GGAAAGGAGAUGUGGAGGAGGCAUCUCAACAGGAAGAAGUGGUCCCGGGGUGGGAUGGGAUUACUUUUAAAGAAAUAUGCCAGCUUCUACGGAGACGCGGGGGACGCCCUGGGCCGUGGACUGGAGCAUUUCCCACCGCGACACCAUCGGUUUUAUGUGAGAUGUUAAAGCGGGUGGAGGUUAAAACGAAAGCUCCAUUGGGAGGUAUUUUAGAGAUGAUGUGGAUUUAUGCGGAAGCUUGGAAGGAGCGAGUCUUAACUUUAGACACAGUCCGUUCGUCAGAAUGUGCUAAGUCACAAAAAGUGACGAAGUAACGGUGCCUGCU